RNAcentral lists this ribosomal RNA (495 nucleotides) under uncultured bacterium. Its description in RNAcentral is "partial 16S ribosomal RNA". It matches the Rfam family "Bacterial small subunit ribosomal RNA", at positions 28 to 507 of the family's 1533-position model. The record is from RNAcentral.
GAUGAACGCUGGCGGCGUGCCUAAUACAUGCAAGUCGAGCGAACAGACGAGGAGCUUGCUCCUCUGACGUUAGCGGCGGACGGGUGAGUAACACGUGGAUAACCUACCUAUAAGACUGGGAUAACUUCGGGAAACCGGAGCUAAUACCGGAUAAUAUAUUGAACCGCAUGGUUCAAUAGUGAAAGACGGUUUUGCUGUCACUUAUAGAUGGAUCCGCGCCGCAUUAGCUAGUUGGUAAGGUAACGGCUUACCAAGGCAACGAUGCGUAGCCGACCUGAGAGGGUGAUCGGCCACACUGGAACUGAGACACGGUCCAGACUCCUACGGGAGGCAGCAGUAGGGAAUCUUCCGCAAUGGGCGAAAGCCUGACGGAGCAACGCCGCGUGAGUGAUGAAGGUCUUCGGAUCGUAAAACUCUGUUAUUAGGGAAGAACAAAUGUAAGUAACUAUGCACGUCUUGACGGUACCUAAUCAGAAAGCCACGGCUAACUACGUG